Molecule: ribosomal RNA, 253 nt
Filed under: uncultured bacterium
Lineage: Bacteria
Description: partial 16S ribosomal RNA
Rfam family: Bacterial small subunit ribosomal RNA
Source: RNAcentral
UACGAAGGGGGCUAGCGUUGCUCGGAAUCACUGGGCGUAAAGGGGUCGUAGGCGGGGCUUUAAGUCAGGGGGGAAAUCCUGGAGCUCAACUCCAGAACUGCCUUUGAUACUGAAGAUCUUGAGUUCGGGAGAGGUGAGUGGAACUGCGAGUGUAGAGGUGAAAUUCGUAGAUAUUCGCAAGAACACCAGUGGCGAAGGCGGCUCACUGGCCCGAUACUGACGCUGAGGCACGAAAGCGUGGGGAGCAAACAGG